RNAcentral lists this ribosomal RNA (506 nucleotides) under uncultured bacterium. Its description in RNAcentral is "partial 16S ribosomal RNA". It matches the Rfam family "Bacterial small subunit ribosomal RNA", at positions 28 to 523 of the family's 1533-position model. The record is from RNAcentral.
GAUGAACGCUAGCUACAGGCUUAACACAUGCAAGUCGAGGGGUAACGAGAGGAAAGCUUGCUUUCCUUGUCGACGACCGGCGCACGGGUGAGUAACGCGUAUCCAACCUGCCCCCAACUAAGGAAUAACCUUGCGAAAGUAAGACUAAUACCUUAUAAUUUCCUCAGAUGUCAUCUGACGAGGAAUAAAGAUUUAUCGGUUGUGGAUGGGGAUGCGUCUGAUUAGCUUGUUGGCGGGGUAACGGCCCACCAAGGCAACGAUCAGUAGGGGUUCUGAGAGGAAGGUCACCCACAUUGGAACUGAGACAAGGUCCAAACUCCUACGGGAGGCAGCAGUGAGGAAUAUUGGUCAAUGGGCGAAAGCCUGAACCAGCCAAGUAGCGUGCAGGAUGACGGCCCUAUGGGUUGUAAACUGCUUUUAUACAGGAAUAAAGUUAGCCACGUGUGGUUAUCUGUAGGUACUGUAUGAAUAAGGACCGGCUAAUUCCGUGCCAGCAGCCGCGGUAA